AUAGUGGUGGUUCAGUGGUAGAAUUCUCGCCUUCUAUGACACCAAUUUUAUGAGGGAGAUCCAGGUUCGAUUCCCGGCCACCGUA
Molecule: transfer RNA, 85 nt
Filed under: Loxodonta africana (African savanna elephant)
Lineage: Eukaryota; Metazoa; Chordata; Mammalia; Proboscidea; Elephantidae
Rfam family: tRNA
About the family: Transfer RNA (tRNA) molecules are approximately 80 nucleotides in length.
Source: Rfam by way of RNAcentral